GAGUCGCUAGCUCAGCUGGUAGAGCAACGGCCUUUUAAGCCGUGGGUCGUGGGUUCGGGUCCCACGCGACUCA
RNAcentral lists this transfer RNA (73 nucleotides) under Bombilactobacillus folatiphilus. RNAcentral describes it as "Bombilactobacillus sp. SG4_D2 tRNA-Lys". It matches the Rfam family "tRNA". From Rfam's summary of the family: Transfer RNA (tRNA) molecules are approximately 80 nucleotides in length. Their secondary structure includes four short double-helical elements and three loops (D, anti-codon, and T loops). The record is from RNAcentral. Lineage: Bacteria; Bacillati; Bacillota; Bacilli; Lactobacillales; Lactobacillaceae. RNAcentral also lists the same sequence under 2 other names.